UUUGACAUGCUUGGAUGCUUGCCUGGAAACAGGUUUAAGUUGCCCUUCGGGGUGAAACUUGCACAGGUGCUGCAUGGCUGUCGUCAGCUCGUGUCGUGAGAUGUCGGGUUAAGUCCUCUAACGAGCGAAACCCUUGCCGUUAGUUACCAGCGGGUCAUGCCGGGAACUCUAACGGGACUGCCGGUGUUAAACCGGAGGAAGGUGGGGAUGACGUCAAGUCAUCAUGGCCUUUAUGCCCAGGGCAUCACACGUGCUACAAUGGCCGGUACAAAGCGACGCAAGACCGCGAGGUGGAGCCAAUCGCAAAAAACCGGCCCCAGUUCGGAUUGCAGGCAGGCAACUCGCCUGCAUGAAGUUGGAAUCGCUAGUAAUCGUGAAUCAGCUAUGUCACGGUGAAUGUGUUCCUGAGCCUU
RNAcentral lists this ribosomal RNA (413 nucleotides) under uncultured Phycisphaerae bacterium. RNAcentral's name for it is "bacterial SSU rRNA". It matches the Rfam family "Bacterial small subunit ribosomal RNA", at positions 980 to 1382 of the family's 1533-position model. The record is from RNAcentral. Lineage: Bacteria; Pseudomonadati; Planctomycetota; Phycisphaerae.